UCCGGGAUAGUUUAACGGUAGAACUAAGGACUCUGACUCCUUCAGUCCAGGUUCGAAUCCUGGUCCCGGAU
Molecule: transfer RNA, 71 nt
Filed under: Kiloniella litopenaei
Lineage: Bacteria; Pseudomonadati; Pseudomonadota; Alphaproteobacteria; Rhodospirillales; Kiloniellaceae
Rfam family: tRNA
About the family: Transfer RNA (tRNA) molecules are approximately 80 nucleotides in length. Their secondary structure includes four short double-helical elements and three loops (D, anti-codon, and T loops). Further hydrogen bonds mediate the characteristic L-shaped molecular structure. tRNAs have two regions of fundamental functional importance: the anti-codon, which is responsible for specific mRNA codon recognition, and the 3' end, to which the tRNAs corresponding amino acid is attached (by aminoacyl-tRNA synthetases). tRNAs cope with the degeneracy of the genetic code in two manners: having more than one tRNA (with a specific anti-codon) for a particular amino acid; and 'wobble' base-pairing, i.e. permitting non-standard base-pairing at the 3rd anti-codon position.
Source: Rfam by way of RNAcentral